AAGGAGAUGCUGUAAGGAUCCCCCCCGGGGCAGGAGAUGCAGGGACGGGCAUCCCGUACAAGCCAAGAGGGCUAGAGGGGUUAAUUUUUUGCUACUUCCUUGCCACCACCAGUACCCCUUUAAAAAAAUAAAAUCACUCGAAGACUUUGGAAAGUUUCUCUUCUUCUGGUUGCUUGAGAAGUGCCUGCUAUUGCCUGAGGGCCUGAUUCCAGCCUCACCUCCCUGCGUCUAGACCAGCAGAGCCAAGGUCAGAGCUGCGUUUGUCAUAUACCAGCAGAGCCAACACCAAGGUGUGACGACGGAUCUACUUAAGCAACUUCUGCAGCUAUCGCAUUGAUCCCAAUAAGAUCUGGACUGUACGGACUUGCCCAAUGUGUCGGAGUGGAUUUGUGGCAGAGAUGAAAAGAAAAUCCAUAAGUGCUGUGCACUUCCUGCUGUUCUCCUCCUUACACAACACUUUGUUACAUAAAGCCUAUUUUUCUGGAAAAAAAAAAAGGGGGGGGGGAGGAGAAAGAUGGAAAAAAUAACAUCGUUUUGAUUGUAAGCCAGUUUUCUGUAUCAAGAUGGCAGCAGCGCGUGAAGCAAAGCAAGGUCUCCUUAAAACCAUGUGACAAGGCUAAUCAAAAUAAACAUCCAAAAAAUAAAGAAAUUAAGGGCGAGGUAGCAGACUGUGGGGAGAGCAGAUGGUUAUUUAAAAUAACGGCAAAAUUCGGCAUGCCGAGUGCAACUAUAGCUCUUGUCACAAAAUAUAGCUGUUAAUGGCAAAGGAGAAGGGAGAAACAUCAUCAGGGUGUUUUGUGGAGCUGGCGAAAGCAGGAAGAUGAAAAAUAUAUGGAGAAAAGGGUAUCUUCAGUCCUCUGCAAAAUCUACCCCAAAUAUCAAUGGCAGAGGCAGAGGAGACAGAAAUGCAGUAGCUGGAAAGAACAUCGCAUCGAUCGAAUUUGUCAUACAACACAAAAGGUCACAAGCCCAGGGAUCAGACACUGAGCUAAAGGAGAAACUUGUCCCCCCAAGAACAGAAAAAACACAGAAUCUGUAGUUUACAGAAGCUUGAAACCCAGAAAAGAAGCUCCAGUCCCUGAGAAAGGAGCUGGGAAACCAGGACUGCUCAGCUCAGCUAUGAUUCAGCUCCAGCCACUAGCACAGGUCCCAAUGCUGUGCACAAAUUCAAGACUUGAACUUGAGCUAGAAGUCAUGCAUUUAGUCAUGGGUUUUGUAAUCCUACCAUUCUACCUGGAUUUUACUGCAAUAACAGGUUAGGGUUAUUUUAUCUCAUCCUGAGCUCUGAACAGCACGGGGCACAAUCCUACCUGCCAUCCCAAGUACUCCCACCUGCCGCUCCAGCCCUGCAGCUCAGGCAUUACCCUGAGUUACGGUGCCAAUGUAGAUCGCCCCUUGCUUUUGCCAGGAUACAUAGCCAAGAGAGAGGCAGAUUAUUGCUAGGCUGCAAAUCACAUUGAAUAAUGAAAUAAAAGCCAAAGCUGGGCCCAUUUGCAGACAGACAGGGGCAGGAGCCAGUUCACAAACAUCCUUUGCAGCCCCCAGCUUUGUAUCCAGUGAUCCACUAGCUAUUAGUCUCUGAUUAGGAGCAGUACAUUCCCUCAAAGAGGUUAUUUCCAUCUUAGAAGGGCCACCAGUCAGCUGAACAUCCUCAGUUCAUUUUGCAGGUACCAUUCCCUGUGCUGUCUCCCUCAAAAUUACACUUGAAAUAUGCCUGGUUUAAAAAAAAUAAAUAAAUAAAUAAAAGAAAAAAAAAAGAAAGAAAAGAACAAACAAUUUCCUCCUGCCACGACUGUUAUGACAAACUGAACCACACGAACAGAAAC
Molecule: long non-coding RNA, 1826 nt
Organism: Anas platyrhynchos (mallard)
Lineage: Eukaryota; Metazoa; Chordata; Aves; Anseriformes; Anatidae
Source: RefSeq, a predicted model, not a curated record